This 564-nucleotide ribosomal RNA is filed under the name uncultured Cytophagales bacterium. RNAcentral's name for it is "bacterial SSU rRNA". It matches the Rfam family "Bacterial small subunit ribosomal RNA", at positions 1 to 572 of the family's 1533-position model. The record is from RNAcentral. Lineage: Bacteria; Pseudomonadati; Bacteroidota; Sphingobacteriia; Sphingobacteriales.
UGAGUUUGAUUCUGGCUCAGGACGAACGCUAGCGGCAGGCCUAAUACAUGCAAGUCGAACGGUAAGGUCCCUUCGGAGAUACACGAGUGGCGCACGGGCGCGUAACGCGUAUACAACCUACCCUUUAGAGGGGGACAACUUCUGGAAACGGAAGCUAAUACCCCAUAUGCACUUAGAAUCGCAUGAUUUCGAGUGGAAAACUCCGGUGCUAAAGGAUGGGUAUGCGUGACAUUAGCUAGUUGGUGAGGUAAAGGCUCACCAAGGCAACGAUGUCUAGCUGGUCUGAGAGGAUGAUCAGCCACACGGGCACUGAGACACGGGCCCGACUCCUACGGGAGGCAGCAGUAAGGAAUAUUGGUCAAUGGGGGCCACCCUGAACCAGCCAUGCCGCGUGCAGGAUGACGGCCCUCUGGGUUGUAAACUGCUUUUAUUUGGGGCUAAUUGUGUGCUAUACGCACGCUUGCAGGUACCAUUUGAAUAAGCACCGGCUAACUACGUGCCAGCAGCCGCGGUAAUACGUAGGGUGCAAGCGUUGUCCGGAUUUAUUGGGUUUAAAGGGUGCGC